CAACUUUCAACAACGGAUCUCUUGGCUCUCGCAUCAAUGAAGAACGCAGCGAAAUGCGAUACGUAAUGUGAAUUGCAGAAUUCAGUGAAUCAUCGAAUCUUUGAACGCACCUUGCGCCCCUUGGCAUUCCGAGGGGCACACCCGUUUGAGUGUC
RNAcentral lists this ribosomal RNA (154 nucleotides) under uncultured Russulaceae. RNAcentral describes it as "5.8S ribosomal RNA". It matches the Rfam family "5.8S ribosomal RNA". Rfam says of the family: 5.8S ribosomal RNA (5.8S rRNA) is a component of the large subunit of the eukaryotic ribosome. It is transcribed by RNA polymerase I as part of the 45S precursor that also contains 18S and 28S rRNA. Lineage: Eukaryota; Fungi; Basidiomycota; Agaricomycetes; Russulales; Russulaceae. The record is from RNAcentral.